CUACGAAGGGGGCUAGCGUUGUUCGGAAUCACUGGGCGUAAAGCGCGCGUAGGUGGAUCAAUUAGUUGAGGGUGAAAUCCCGGGGCUCAACCUCGGAACUGCCUUCAAUACUGUUGAUCUUGAGACCGAGAGAGGUGAGUGGAAUUCCUAGUGUAGAGGUGAAAUUCGUAGAUAUUAGGAAGAACACCAGUGGCGAAGGCGGCUCACUGGCUCGGUACUGACGCUGAGGUGCGAAAGCGUGGGGAGCAAACAGGAUUAGAUACCCUAGUAGUCC
RNAcentral lists this ribosomal RNA (274 nucleotides) under uncultured bacterium. RNAcentral describes it as "partial 16S ribosomal RNA". It matches the Rfam family "Bacterial small subunit ribosomal RNA", at positions 523 to 796 of the family's 1533-position model. The record is from RNAcentral.